Molecule: ribosomal RNA, 468 nt
Filed under: uncultured bacterium
Lineage: Bacteria
Description: partial 16S ribosomal RNA
Rfam family: Bacterial small subunit ribosomal RNA
Source: RNAcentral
GACGAACGCUGGCGGUGUGCUUAACACACGCAAGUCGAACGGAAAGGCCCUGCUUUUGUGGGGUGCUCGAGUGGCGAACGGGUGAGUAACACGUGAGUAACCUGCCCUUGACUUUGGGAUAACUUCAGGAAACUGGGGCUAAUACCGGAUAGGAGCUCCUGCUGCAUGGUGGGGGUUGGAAAGUUUCGGCGGUUGGGGAUGGACUCGCGGCUUAUCAGCUUGUUGGUGGGGUAGUGGCUUACCAAGGCUUUGACGGGUAGCCGGCCUGAGAGGGUGACCGGCCACAUUGGGACUGAGAUACGGCCCAGACUCCUACGGGAGGCAGCAGUGGGGAAUAUUGCACAAUGGGCGGAAGCCUGAUGCGGCAACGCCGCGUGCGGGAUGACGGCCUUCGGGUUGUAAACCGCUUUCGCCUGUGACGAAGCGUGAGUGACGGUAAUGGGUAAAGAAGCACCGGCUAACUACGUG